ACAUGUGGACAGUAUGGGAGUGAGAAUGUUGGCAUGAGUAGCGAGAUGUGGGUGAGAAUCCCACAGGCCGUAAACCCAAGGUUUCCAGGGGAAGGUUCGUCCGCCCUGGGUUAGUCGGGACCUAAGCUGAGGCCGAAAGGCGUAGGUGAUGGACAACAGGUUGAUAUUCCUGUACUACCGAUAACCGUUUGAGAGAAGGGAUGACACAGUAGGAUAAGCUAAGCACACUGUUGGUUAUGUGUGCCCAAGCAUUGAGGCAGUCAAAGCAGG
RNAcentral lists this ribosomal RNA (270 nucleotides) under Clostridioides difficile. RNAcentral's name for it is "partial 23S ribosomal RNA". It matches the Rfam family "Bacterial large subunit ribosomal RNA", at positions 1269 to 1536 of the family's 2925-position model. The record is from RNAcentral. Lineage: Bacteria; Bacillati; Bacillota; Clostridia; Peptostreptococcales; Peptostreptococcaceae.